RNAcentral lists this ribosomal RNA (495 nucleotides) under uncultured bacterium. Its description in RNAcentral is "partial 16S ribosomal RNA". It matches the Rfam family "Bacterial small subunit ribosomal RNA", at positions 28 to 507 of the family's 1533-position model. The record is from RNAcentral.
GACGAACGCUGGCGGCGUGCCUAAUACAUGCAAGUAGAACGCUGAAGGAGGAGCUUGCUUCUCUGGAUGAGUUGCGAACGGGUGAGUAACGCGUAGGUAACCUGCCUGGUAGCGGGGGAUAACUAUUGGAAACGAUAGCUAAUACCGCAUAAUAGUAGAUGUUGCAUGACAUUUGCUUAAAAGGUGCAAUUGCAUCACUACCAGAUGGACCUGCGUUGUAUUAGCUAGUUGGUGAGGUAACGGCUCACCAAGGCAACGAUACAUAGCCGACCUGAGAGGGUGAUCGGCCACACUGGGUCUGAGACACGGCCCAGACUCCUACGGGAGGCAGCAGUAGGGAAUCUUCGGCAAUGGACGGAAGUCUGACCGAGCAACGCCGCGUGAGUGAAGAAGGUUUUCGGAUCGUAAAGCUCUGUUGUAAGAGAAGAACGAGUGUGAGAGUGGAAAGUUCACACUGUGACGGUAUCUUACCAGAAAGGGACGGCUAACUACGUG